This 1448-nucleotide ribosomal RNA is filed under the name uncultured Glomeromycotina. RNAcentral describes it as "eukaryotic LSU rRNA". The stretch from base 693 to 1448 matches the Rfam family "Eukaryotic large subunit ribosomal RNA", at positions 1 to 673 of the family's 3401-position model. The record is from RNAcentral. Lineage: Eukaryota; Fungi; Glomeromycota.
CCUAGUAAGCGUGAGUCAUCAGCUCGCGUUGAUUACGUCCCUGCCCUUUGUACACACCGCCCGUCGCUACUACCGAUUGAAUGGCUUAGUGAGACCCUCGGAUUGUAGGUUGUUUCGUUGGCAACAACAAACGACUCGCGAGAAGUUGGUCAAACUUGGUCAUUUAGAGGAAGUAAAAGUCGUAACAAGGUUUCCGUAGGUGAACCUGCGGAAGGAUCAUUAAAAAAAAGAAUCGAAAGAUUCGCUUUUUUAAAACUCUACUAUUUUGUAGAGUUUUUUUCAAACUCUUGUAUACAAUUAUCGUCCUCUGACGAAAUCCAAAAUUUCAAUAAAAAAAACUUUCAACAAUGGAUCUCUUGGCUCUCGCAUCGAUGAAGAACGCAGCGAAUUGCGAUAAGUAGUGUGAAUUGCAGAAUUCUGUGAAUCAUCGAAUCUUUGAACGCAUAUUGCACUCUCUGGUAUUCCGGAGAGUAUGCCUGUUUGAGGGUAAUUAAAAAGAAUCUUUACCAAUUUUUUUUGGUCAAAGGAAAUGAGUUCUCCGCGUUCAUAGCGGUAGCUUGAAAUAAAUGGUCAAGUCUCAUUUUAGUCGAGACGCGUAAUAAUGUUAUUUCGCGAAAUCUUCAUUAUGUGACUAUCAAGUUUUGAUGCAUACAAAUUUGGUUUGUUUGCGAUCAAUACAAAUAUUUUGAACAUUACCUCAAAUCAGGUAGGAGUACCCGCUGAACUUAAGCAUAUCAAUAAGCGGAGGAAAAGAAACUAACCAGGAUUCCCCUAGUAACGGCGAGUGAAGCGGGAAUAGCUCAAAUUUUAAAUCGAAUUUCGGUUCGAGUUGUAAUUUGAAGAGACGUUUUCACGUCAUGAUUCAGGUCUAAGUGCUUUGGAAUGAGCCAUCAGAGAGGGUGAGAAUCCCGUCUUUGAUCUGGAUUAUUGGCGGUACGAUACGUCUUCUAAGAGUCGAGUUGUUUGGGAUUGCAGCUCAAAAUGGGUGGUAAAUUCCAUCUAAGGCUAAAUAUAGGCGAGAGACCGAUAGCGAACAAGUACCGUGAGGGAAAGAUGAAAAGCACUUUGAAAAGAGAGUUAAAUAGUACGUGAAAUUGUUGAAAGGGAAACGAUUGAAGCCAGUCAUGCCGGCGGAAAAUCAACUCACAGGCUACUGUGAGUGCACUUUUUCGCAAGGCAGGUUAGCAUCGGUUUUAGUUGCGUUAUAAUGAUCAUGGGAAGGUAGCUCUUUCGAGAGUGUUAUAGCCCGUGGUAGAUGACGUGAGUUGGACCGAGGAUUGCAGCGAAUGCCAUUAGGCUACGUGUCUGAUCUCUCUCAAUUAUUGAUUCGUCGUCAGCUUGCUGACGUACGGGUUGAUGAUUGUCAAAAGGUUAGAACUACGAUAAAUUCGCUAAGGAUGCUGACGUAAUGGCUUUAAACGACCCGUCUUGAAACACGGACCAAGGAG